Anser brachyrhynchus (Pink-footed goose) is the source of this 1276-nucleotide long non-coding RNA. Lineage: Eukaryota; Metazoa; Chordata; Aves; Anseriformes; Anatidae. The record is from Ensembl.
UUGUCACAUUUGUAAUUAAAUACUGCCUCAGUAGGCAGCACAUGCCUACUUUUUGCCUGCUUGCCUGCAUAUCAGCAAAUCCUGACCACUUCAAAACAGGCCUAACAAAACCAAACAGAAAACCCUCAACAGGCCAAGAUGCAUCUACUUUCAAGUACUCUGAAUAUCUCUGCUAACAAUGGAUCUGCCACCUUCCAUUACUUUCCUAUUGUACCUUAAAAGUCCACUUUGAAAAGUAUGCCGUAGAAAUGGCAGUCUGAUAUGUAUCUCUAAAUAUUUAUGCCGAGACUUUCUUCUGAAUUUGCAGUGGGUGCAAUCAGUUUUUUGGAGACUUUAGUCAAACUUUCUCUUAGAUAGAAACAGCGACCACACGGGCACACUUCCAUUGCUGGCAAAGAAGGCAAAGUCUCAUUUGUUCAGUAAAAGAAGAUUUUUGCUGGAUGCCACAGGAUGCCUAAAAGCAUGGUGUGAAAAGCAAGUUCUCAGGAGGACGUGAGAAGAGUUCUUAGUUAAUUUUGUUAUCCAAGGUUAAUUGGGGAAGUGACUUCUUGAGCUUCACUUGCAACAAUUACAUAAGAGAAAAAAAAUGGAGAAAUGUCUGCACGCCUUUGCAAAGAUGUCCUGGACCUCCUGCCUUGCGAAGGAAGGCCACACCGCGUGAGGAGGACGGGCCGUGUGAGGAGGACGGGCCGCGUGAGGAGGACAAACCAUGCCAGGCCCAAGUGCUCGGCCCUGGCUGGGGGGACACGGAGAUGGCACGUAGCCCAGGGAUGCUGCUGGCCUGGAGGUACCUCAGGAGAGUAGGAAUUAUAACUCCGUUGAUGUCUCAACUCACCUGAGGAGUAUGAAUGACACAGCCCCAGGUACAUGGGACUGGACCACAUCAGAGAGGUGCAUCCAUGGGGCGCGAUUUGUUUGCUCCUGGGCUUUGCCAUCCAUGCUGAGGCUGGGGAGAAGUCUGCAGCCUUCUCUAAGCAUCUCUGCAGACUUGGCUGGAGCCAGGGAGCAGUGGGGACCACCAACAUUGAGAGCAAGGGCAAAACCAUGCCAAUAACACGGGGGCAGAUGGUGGCAGAUGACUUGCAGAUGUGGUUGCAAAGGUCACCGCAAAACAAGCUCCAUCCAGAGGACCUGGCGCAGCAGAUUCCUGCUGCAGAGCUAUUUGACUGUAGCGCGCUUCUGGAGCACCUACAGCUGCAUGCAUUAAUACCACGGCGGAGUUUCGAAAUGUUUUCAGGCAGACUUCAGCUCCCUGGGAAAUUAUUUUAAUUAUGAU